This 431-nucleotide ribosomal RNA is filed under the name uncultured bacterium. RNAcentral's name for it is "bacterial SSU rRNA". It matches the Rfam family "Bacterial small subunit ribosomal RNA", at positions 28 to 454 of the family's 1533-position model. The record is from RNAcentral.
GACGAACGCUGGCGGCGCGCCUAACACAUGCAAGUCGAACGGAGCUUAGAGAGCUUGCUUUUUAAGCUUAGUGGCGAACGGGUGAGUAACGCGUGAGUAACCUGCCCUAGAGUGGGGGACAACAGUUGGAAACGACUGCUAAUACCGCAUAAGCCCACGGUACCGCAUGGUACUGAGGGAAAAGGAUUUAUUCGCUUUAGGAUGGACUCGCGUCCAAUUAGCUAGUUGGUGAGGUAACGGCCCACCAAGGCGACGAUUGGUAGCCGGACUGAGAGGUUGAACGGCCACAUUGGGACUGAGACACGGCCCAGACUCCUACGGGAGGCAGCAGUGGGGGAUAUUGCACAAUGGGGGAAACCCUGAUGCAGCGACGCCGCGUGGAGGAAGAAGGUUUUCGGAUUGUAAACUCCUGUCGUUAGGGACGAUAAUGA